Molecule: ribosomal RNA, 500 nt
Filed under: uncultured bacterium
Lineage: Bacteria
Description: partial 16S ribosomal RNA
Rfam family: Bacterial small subunit ribosomal RNA
Source: RNAcentral
AUUGAACGCUGGCGGCAUGCCUUACACAUGCAAGUCGAACGGCAGCACGGGAGCAAUCCUGGUGGCGAGUGGCGAACGGGUGAGUAAAGUAUCGGAACGUGCCCAGUCGUGGGGGAUAACGUAGCGAAAGUUACGCUAAUACCGCAUACGAUCUAUGGAUGAAAGCGGGGGAUCGCAAGACCUCGCGCGAUUGGAGCGGCCGAUAUCAGAUUAGGUAGUUGGUGGGGUAAAGGCUCACCAAGCCGACGAUCUGUAGCUGGUCUGAGAGGACGACCAGCCAACCUGGGACUGAGACACGGCCCAGACUCCUACGGGAGGCAGCAGUGGGGAAUUUUGGACAAUGGGCGCAAGCCUGAUCCAGCCAUGCCGCGUGCAGGAUGAAGGCCUUCGGGUUGUAAACUGCUUUUGUACGGAACGAAAAGGUUUGGCCUAAUAAGCUGAGCUCAUGACGGUACCGUAAGAAUAAGCACCGGCUAACUACGUGCCAGCCGCCGCCGUAA